This 425-nucleotide ribosomal RNA is filed under the name uncultured bacterium. Its description in RNAcentral is "partial 16S ribosomal RNA". It matches the Rfam family "Bacterial small subunit ribosomal RNA", at positions 354 to 796 of the family's 1533-position model. The record is from RNAcentral.
GUUAGGAAUAUUGGACAAUGGGCGAAAGCCUGAUCCAGCCAUGCCGCGUGAACGAUGAAGGCCUUCGGGUUGUAAAGUUCUUUAGCCGAUGAUUAUAAUGACUGUAGUCGGAAAAUAAGCCCCGGCUAACUUCGUGCCAGCAGCCGCGGUAAUACGAAGGGGGCGAGCGUUAUUCGGAAUCACUGGGCGUAAAGCGUGCGUAGGCGGUCUCGUAAGUUAGGAGUGAAAGCCCAGGGCUCAACCUUGGAAUUGCUCUUAAAACUGCAAGGCUAGAAUCUCGGAGAGGAUAGCGGAAUUUCCAGUGUAGCAGUGAAAUGCGUAGAUAUUGGAAGGAACACCAGUGGCGUAAGCGGCUAUCUGGACGAGUAUUGACGCUGAGGCACGAAAGCGUGGGGAUCAAACAGGAUUAGAAACCCCUGUAGUCC